Molecule: ribosomal RNA, 776 nt
Filed under: uncultured Dialister sp.
Lineage: Bacteria; Bacillati; Bacillota; Negativicutes; Veillonellales; Veillonellaceae
Description: bacterial SSU rRNA
Rfam family: Bacterial small subunit ribosomal RNA
Source: RNAcentral
GACGAACGCGGCGCCGUGCUUAACACAUGCAAGUCGAACGAAAAGAGGGAAAGAGCUUGCUCUUUCGGAAUGAGUGGCCACGUGUGAGUAACACGUAACAACCUGCCUUCAGGAUGGGGACAACAGACGGAAACGACUGCUAAUACCGAAUAAGUUCCCAGAGCCGCAUGGCCCAUGGAAGAAAAGGUGGCCUAUACCUGUAAGCUAUCGCAUGAAGAGGGGUUUGCGUCUGAUUAGCUGGUUGGAGGGGUAACGGCCCACCAAGGCGACGAUCAGUAGCCGGUCUGAGAGGAUGAACGGCCACACUGGAACUGAGACACGGUCCAGACUCCUACGGGAGGCAGCAGUGGGGAAUCUUCCGCAAUGGGCGAAAGCCUGACGGAGCAACGCCGCGUGAGUGAUGACGGCCUUCGGGUUGUAAAACUCUGUGAUCCGGGACGAAAAGGCAGAGUGCGAAGAACAAACUGCAUUGACGGUACCGGAAAAGCAAGCCACGGCUAACUACGUGCCAGCAGCCGCGGUAAUACGUAGGUGGCAAGCGUUGUCCGGAAUUAUUGGGCGUAAAGCGCGCGCAGGCGGCUUCCCAAGUCCCUCUUAAAAGUGCGGGGCUUAACCCCGUGAUGGGAAGGAAACUGGGAAGCUGGAGUAUCGGAGAGGAAAGUGGAAUUCCUAGUGUAGCGGUGAAAUGCGUAGAGAUUAGGAAGAACACCGGUGGCGAAGGCGACUUUCUGGACGAAAACUGACGCUGAGGCGCGAAAGCGUGGGGAGCAAACAGG